AACGAACGCUGGCGGCAUGCCUAACACAUGCCAGUCGAACGAAGCCUUCGGGCUUAGUGGCGCACGGGUGCGUAACGCGUGGGAAUCUGCCCCUUGCUUCGGAAUAACAGUUAGAAAUGACUGCUAAUACCGGAUGAAGUCUUCGGACCAAAGAUUUAUCGGCAAGGGAUGAGCCCGCGUAGGAUUAGGUAGUUGGUGGGGUAAAGGCCUACCAAGCCGACGAUCCUUAGCUGGUCUGAGAGGAUGAUCAGCCACACUGGGACUGAGACACGGCCCAGACUCCUACGGGAGGCAGGAGUGGGGAAUAGUGGAAAAUGGACGCAAGUCUGAUCCAGCAAUGCCGCGUGAGUGAUGAAGGCCUUAGGGUUGUAAAGCUCUUUUACCAGGGAUGAUAAUGACAGUACCUGGAGAAUAAGCACCGGCUAACUCCGUG
This 433-nucleotide ribosomal RNA is filed under the name uncultured bacterium. RNAcentral's name for it is "partial 16S ribosomal RNA". It matches the Rfam family "Bacterial small subunit ribosomal RNA", at positions 29 to 507 of the family's 1533-position model. The record is from RNAcentral.